AUUGAACGCUGGCGGCAGGCCUAACACAUGCAAGUCGAGCGAGCGGCGGACGGGUGAGUAAUGUCUGGGAAACUGCCCGCUGGCGGGGGAUAACUACUGGAAACGGUAGCUAAUACCGCAUACCAUGAGAUGUGCCCAUAUGGGAUUAGCUAGUAGGUGGGGUAACGGCUCACCUAGGCGACGAUCCCUAGCUGGUCUGAGAGGAUGAUCAGUAACACGUGGACUUAGAGAGGGACCAGACUCCUAAGGGAGGCAGCAGUGGGGAAUAUUGCACAAGGGGCGCAAGGCUGAUGCAGGCAUGGGGCGUGUGUGAAGAAGGCCAUCGGGUGGUAAAGCACGUUAAGUGGGGAGGCGUUACCUACAGAAGAAGCACCGGCUAACUCCGUGCCAGCAGCCGCGGUAAUAC
Molecule: ribosomal RNA, 406 nt
Filed under: uncultured bacterium
Lineage: Bacteria
Description: partial 16S ribosomal RNA
Rfam family: Bacterial small subunit ribosomal RNA
Source: RNAcentral